RNAcentral lists this ribosomal RNA (534 nucleotides) under uncultured bacterium. RNAcentral's name for it is "bacterial SSU rRNA". It matches the Rfam family "Bacterial small subunit ribosomal RNA", at positions 17 to 557 of the family's 1533-position model. The record is from RNAcentral.
UCCUGGCUCAGGAUAAACGCUGGCGGCGCACAUAAGACAUGCAAGUCGAACGGACUUAAUCUUAAUAUUUAUAUUGAGAAGCGGUUAGUGGCGGACUGGUGAGUAACGCGUAAGCAAUCUGCCUAUUAGAGGGGAAUAACAGUGAGAAAUCAUUGCUAAUACCGCAUAUGCCAUAAGAACCACAUGGUUCUAGUGGGAAAGGAGUAAUCCGCUAAUAGAUGAGCUUGCGUCUGAUUAGCCAGUUGGUGUGGUAAUGGCACACCAAGGCAACGAUCAGUAGCCGGACUGAGAGGUUGAACGGCCACAUUGGGACUGAGAUACGGCCCAGACUCCUACGGGAGGCAGCAGUCGGGAAUAUUGCGCAAUGGAGGAAACUCUGACGCAGUGACGCCGCGUAUAGGAAGAAGGUUUUCGGAUUGUAAACUAUUGUCGUUAGGGAAGAUAAAAGACAGUACCUAAGGAGGAAGCUCCGGCUAACUACGUGCCAGCAGCCGCGGUAAUACGUAGGGAGCAAGCGUUAUCCGGAUUUAUUGG